CCUACGGGAGGCAGCAGUGAGGAAUAUUGGUCAAUGGACGAGAGUCUGAACCAGCCAAGUAGCGUGAAGGAUGACUGCCCUAUGUGUUGUACACUUCUUUUAUAAAGGAAUAAAACGAGGCACGUGUGCCUUUUUGCAUGUACUUUAUGAAUAAGCAUCGGCUAACUCCGUGCCAGCAGCCGCGGUAAUACGGAGGAUCCGAGCGUUAUCCGGAUUUAUUGGGUUUAAAGGGAGCGUAGAUGGGUUGUUAAGUCAGUUGUGAAAGUUUGCGGCUCAAACGUAAAAUUGCAAUUGAUACUGGCAGUCUUGAGUACAGUUGAGGUAGGCGGAAUUCGUGGUGUAGCGGUGAAAUGCUUAGAUAUCACGAAGAACCCCGAUUGCGAAGGCAGCUUACUAAACUGUGACUGACAUUGAUGCUCGAAAGUGUGGGUAUCAAACAGGAUUAGAUACCCUUGUAGUC
RNAcentral lists this ribosomal RNA (460 nucleotides) under uncultured bacterium. Its description in RNAcentral is "partial 16S ribosomal RNA". It matches the Rfam family "Bacterial small subunit ribosomal RNA", at positions 338 to 795 of the family's 1533-position model. The record is from RNAcentral.